Molecule: ribosomal RNA, 253 nt
Filed under: uncultured bacterium
Lineage: Bacteria
Description: partial 16S ribosomal RNA
Rfam family: Bacterial small subunit ribosomal RNA
Source: RNAcentral
UACGAAGGGGGCUAGCGUUGCUCGGAAUGACUGGGCGUAAAGGGCGCGUAGGCGGUUUGAUUAGUUAGGCGUGAAAUUCCCGGGCUCAACCUGGGAACUGCGUUUAAUACAGUCAGACUUGAGUUCGGAAGAGGGUCGUGGAAUUCCCAGUGUAGAGGUGAAAUUCGUAGAUAUUCGGAAGAACACCAGUGGCGAAGGCGACUCGCUGGACAGGUAUUGACGCUGAGGUGCGAAAGCGUGGGGAGCAAACAGG